Molecule: ribosomal RNA, 253 nt
Filed under: uncultured bacterium
Lineage: Bacteria
Description: partial 16S ribosomal RNA
Rfam family: Bacterial small subunit ribosomal RNA
Source: RNAcentral
UACGUAGGGUGCGAGCGUUGUCCGGAAUUACUGGGCGUAAAGAGCUCGUAGGCGGUUUGUCGCGUCUGCCGUGAAAGUCCGGGGCUCAACUCCGGAUCUGCGGUGGGUACGGGCAGACUAGAGUGAUGUAGGGGAGACUGGAAUUCCUGGUGUAGCGGUGAAAUGCGCAGAUAUCAGGAGGAACACCGGUGGCGAAGGCGGGUCUCUGGGCCGAUACUGACGCUGAGGAGCGAAAGCGUGGGGAGCAAACAGG